Long non-coding RNA from Choloepus didactylus (southern two-toed sloth), 515 nucleotides. RefSeq lists it as uncharacterized. The record is from RefSeq and is a predicted model, not a curated record. The transcript has 3 exons. Lineage: Eukaryota; Metazoa; Chordata; Mammalia; Pilosa; Megalonychidae.
AUGAAGAUGUUCAAAAAGUAAUUGUGAUGAAUGCACAGCUAUGUAAUGGUGCUGUGAAUAGUUGUACACUUUUGAAUUAAAAACAACAACAACAACAACAAAACCACCCACCUAGCCAGGUUAUCCUGAGACUCAAACAAAGGGCGAAAAGCACUUUGCUUCCUUCUCAAAUCCUGUGAGAAGAGCGUAACUGAAAGCCCGGCCUUGGUUUCUGCGUGUCACGCGGUCCGCAGGGAGCGGUGCGCGCCGCCUCUCGCGGAGCGGCACUUACCUCGCCGCGUGUUUACUUUCAAAAGGCGCCGCCAGCAGCCCGGGGGACGCCACACGCGCCUCCUCUCGCCGCCAGCACUGGCCUCGGCGGCGGCGGGAGAGGCCGGACCGGCCCGCUCUGCACCGACAGAGCCCCCCUCCCGGACGCAUCAUGAGGGUACUUCACCGUUUACAGAGCUCCUUUCCUUUCAUUCCUCAUUGAGACAUCAGAUGACGUUUAUGACAUUAACAAAAAACAGGACUAU